RNAcentral lists this ribosomal RNA (405 nucleotides) under uncultured bacterium. RNAcentral describes it as "bacterial SSU rRNA". It matches the Rfam family "Bacterial small subunit ribosomal RNA", at positions 355 to 776 of the family's 1533-position model. The record is from RNAcentral.
UCGGGAAUAUUGCGCAAUGGAGGAAACUCUGACGCAGUGACGCCGCGUAUAGGAAGAAGGUUUUCGGAUUGUAAACUAUUGUCGUUAGGGAAGAAAAAAGACAGUACCUAAGGAGGAAGCUCCGGCUAACUACGUGCCAGCAGCCGCGGUAAUACGUAGGGAGCGAGCGUUAUCCGGAUUUAUUGGGUGUAAAGGGUGCGUAGACGGGUAUACAAGUUGGUUGUGAAAUCCCUCGGCUUAACUGAGGAACUGCAACCAAAACUGUAUAUCUUGAGUACAGGAGAGGUAAGUGGAAUUCCUAGUGUAGCGGUGAAAUGCGUAGAUAUUAGGAGGAACACCAGUGGCGAAGGCGACUUACUGGACUGAAACUGACGUUGAGGCACGAAAGUGUGGGGAGCAAACAGG